CCUACGGGAGGCAGCAGUAGGGAAUUUUCGGCAAUGGGGGGAACCCUGACCGAGCAACGCCGCGUGAAGGAUGAAGGACUUCGUUCUGUAAACUUCUGUUAUAAAGGAAGAAAGACGGAUGGAGGAAAUGACUUCCUAUUGACGGUACCUUAUUAGAAAGCGACGGCUAACUACGUGCCAGCAGCCGCGGUAAUACGUAGGUGGCAAGCGUUAUCCGGAAUUAUUGGGCGUAAAGAGGGAGCAGGCGGCAGCAAAGGUCUGUGGUGAAAGACUGAAGCUUAACUUCAGUAAGCUAUGGAAACCGGGCAGCUAGAGUGAAGGAGAGGAUCGUGGAAUUCCAUGUGUAGCGGUGGAAUGCGUAGAUAUAAGGAGGAACACCAGUGGCGAAGGCGACGAUCUGGACUGCAACUGACGCUCAGUACCGAAAGCGUGGGGAGCAAAUAGGAUUAGAUACCCUUGUAGUC
RNAcentral lists this ribosomal RNA (464 nucleotides) under uncultured bacterium. Its description in RNAcentral is "partial 16S ribosomal RNA". It matches the Rfam family "Bacterial small subunit ribosomal RNA", at positions 338 to 795 of the family's 1533-position model. The record is from RNAcentral.